RNAcentral lists this ribosomal RNA (357 nucleotides) under uncultured bacterium. Its description in RNAcentral is "bacterial SSU rRNA". It matches the Rfam family "Bacterial small subunit ribosomal RNA", at positions 917 to 1271 of the family's 1533-position model. The record is from RNAcentral.
GGACCCGCACAAGCGGUGGAUGAUGUGGUUUAAUUCGAUGCAACGCGAAAAACCUUACCUACCCUUGACAUGUACGGAACUUGCCAGAGAUGGCUUGGUGCUCGAAAGAGAGCCGUAACACAGGUGCUGCAUGGCUGUCGUCAGCUCGUGUCGUGAGAUGUUGGUUAAGUCCCGCAACGAGCGCAACCCUUGUCAUUAGUUGCUACAUUUAGUUGGGCACUCUAAUGAGACUGCCGGUGACAAACCGGAGGAAGGUGGGGAUGACGUCAAGUCCUCAUGGCCCUUAUGGGUAGGGCUACACACGUCAUACAAAGUGGCCUGGUGACAAAGGGGUUGCCAACCCGCGAGGGGAGCUAA